Long non-coding RNA from Harpia harpyja (harpy eagle), 3254 nucleotides. RefSeq lists it as uncharacterized. Lineage: Eukaryota; Metazoa; Chordata; Aves; Accipitriformes; Accipitridae. The transcript is spliced from 8 exons. The record is from RefSeq and is a predicted model, not a curated record.
UUUCACAGCAUUAUGUUGGGAAAGUCCAAGAACAGACCAGCAAAGCUGAGUAAGGUCAGAGAAUUGAACACUUUGAGGCAACUCUGCAAAGAUACGGAUGAAAUUGGACUGAUAAACGAGGCGGUUGGAUUGCAGGCUGUCUUUUUGGAAGACCCAGGAAGAGGUGGCUGCUCCAUGGCAGACAUACAUACACACGUCUGAAGACCGUCAGAAGACCAGCUGGUGGGAGGCAGGAUCGUAAAGACGACUUUUCCACAAAUGCCACAAGCACAAUACUAGAAGAAGAUUGAUAUUUGGAAAAAUGAUGGACUUCAAAAAUAACUUUGGAUUCUCUGACCUGUUUCACUAAUGCACGCUGCUGUAAAACCAGGAGGGGUGGAAAGUGCAAUUCACAGAGAAGGGAAGGUGGAGGCAUGCCCUGAAGCUUCACGGCACUGCUCAUGACCUCUCAGCCAGGCACUCCUGUUGCUGGAGCUGUCUCCUCAACAACCAACCUGCUAAGCCUGGAGAUGAAGGAGGACGUCCAGGAGUCUUGUAUUAUCACUGAGUACAGCUGAAUUCCUGAAAACUUCUAUAAGCAUUUAGACUAAUAGGUGGAUGGAGCAUGAAAAGACAAACAAUGAUGGAAAAAAUAACUACACUGGUCGCAUGUAGCAAACAAGGAUGAAGCUAUAAGGACUCAUUGCCGAGAAAUGCUACUGGAUACACACCUCCACCCCCUCUCACCCAGAAGACUGUUGAUGUGUUUGCAAGACAGAGAUAUUUAUGAAGAAACUUCUUGUACAAGUCGUCCCUGAUGGUUAACUGGUGGCCUGGUCUGGGGAGGACAUUCAGAGGCAGGAGUUCAACCCUCCUCAAGCAAAGCACAGAGCUGAACCUCAGUCUGCCACUUCCCAGAUGUUUAUAUUUAAAGAUAACCACUGCCAGCAUGAACAACUUUUACCUCUCUUUGAGCUUGGAGUUCAUAACGCUGUUUGAAGGCUGUAAGCCCUUAAGUACUGAAACAAGGUGAACAUUCAGCUCCAGAAAUUUCAAAUCCAGGUGAAGUGAACUUGCUGAUUAACUCUGUGAAUGAAAUGAGUAUUUUAGUAGAGUGCUAGGAUGACAGCAAAUGAAAAUCUGUCCUAAAAUAUAGUAAAACCUGCAGGAAAUACAAGGUACCUGCUGAGAAACCAGCUUUCUCUUUACCUAUAAUGUUUAAUCUUUUUGACUCUCGCCUAGUUCUUCUAGGGUAGAGGGAACACAGUACAGAUUUCACAGCGCUGUCAUCACCACUGAAAGGCUCAUAUUAAUCUAGAUUUGUAUGCUAUCUGACCGUUGGCAAUAGGGACAGUUAACAUUCCAAUAUCACUUUCCGUUCAAGGAUACUGAAGAGCAUUGGAAACAUUAAGCUCUGAGGUUGGUAAUUUACUAAUGAGAAAACUGAUUCAAAGAGAAAUUAGGACCUUAAUCUCUCAUCCAUUGAAGCCAAUGGAAAUCAUUUUGUGGUUUCCUUGGGCAGACCGUGUGUGGCUUGUAAAAGGUCACAUGAGAAAUCACAGAAAAAUUAGACCAAAAGUCCAAUAACUUUUUGCUUGUUCAGUACAAGAAUAACUGUCCCUUACCCUAUGCCUGAAUCCUUUGUAUCUGAAUCCCUUUUCCUUAAUGCAAUUUAGAAAUAUUCCAAUAAAUUUAGAUUUGCUAAGAUUACAUUUUCAUAUCACCACCAGCUGUGUGCUGCUGCAGAGGAGAUGUGGAACAACGGAUAGCUUUGGAGUACUACUAUUUUUUUAUUCAGGCCUAACAUCAUGGGUCUUCUCCCUGGGACCUGAGCUGGAGCCUUCAUUGGUAGUGGAUGUUGAUGCUCCAAACAGAUAAUGGAAGCAAAGAUCUCUUGGGCAAGUUUCCCACAGAAGAAGCACAAGCCGGUCCCAUGGAGCUGAAGAACCUUUGUGUCCUGUUUGCCUGCUCACAAUUAUUUUAAGCGCUUUAGUACAACUGAAAGCCAUACCUCAUGUCAUAGAAAUGAGAUUUUCAAAUUCUUUGAAGUAGUUAAACUUUAACAAAAAGUUACUCUGUAUUGCUGAGACCUUUCAUUGAACUAAAGCAUCCGGUUUUUAGGGUGACGUGAUGACAUUGAAGAAGUCACAAUUAAAUUCUUCAGACUUGUUAUUUUAGAGGUAAUAUUCUCCAAGGACCUGAUCCAAAACACUCUGUACUCAGUAGGAGUCUUUCUGCCUCGGGGCUCCCUUGAUAUUUUGCAAGAUCCUCUAUCUCUGGUAAUAUUUCAAGCAGUUUAUUACAAAAUUCCAUAAUGCAAUAUGCAUUGCUUGUGUGGCUAGAAACCUUUAUAUCAACAGUCUAGAUAAAUGCCGGUACUGCUAUCAUAAUACACUUCAACAGAGGUAAGAAAUAUAGUGCUGUAUUUACAAAUUUGAUCCAUUCAGGGCCUAGGGCUGUAGUAACUUAGAUAUAGGAGCGUUUAUGCACAAAAUCACUGGAGCAUACACAUGAUUAUUUAUCAAGAUGGUCUCUGUAUAGUGCUAGUAUUAUGCAUUAGCACCUACUUGAUAUAACAGGAAUAAACAUUUCACGAAAGAACACGAAGGACACUGGAAAGGUAUAUCACAAGCACAGUUUUAUAAUGAACCCAGGGAAUAUUUAUGUUGUACAUUCCACAUAAAAUAUGUGAGAGCUAGCCAAGUAAAGCCCUCCCAAAACUAGGUAAGCAGGACACUUUUAUAAUGGCGAUAUAACUGAAAGAGCGUUCCUAGACUUUCAUGAACCUUAUGUUUUCUAUUGGUGUUCCUUCAACUUAUGUAUCACUUAAAGGUCAUUCCACAGAACGAUUGAAAGAAUAGAUGUAUUUUGGUGGUAUACAGAACAGACUUAAGUUUUUGGACUAAUCUGGGCUUAGCAAACUCUAGUGUGCAGUGAGUGGCAAAUGUAUUAUUCUACUGUGUCAUAUAAAGGACUACCUCAGAUGUUUGAAAUAAUGCAUAUAGUUAAAGGUUAUGGUAGAAUAACAUUAAAGCAAUUCAUUGUUUCUGGGCCUGAUGGUAAUAUGAAUGAUAAAAACGUGAUGACUAUUAUAGCCUUGAAGCAUUACAGUCAUUUUGCUAUGAUAAUAGUCCUCAGAUUUGGUUAUAGCCCUAAUAUGUUACCUGAAAGUUAAAAUUAGAUUCUCAGGUCUGUUGGCACAUAAUGAUUACUUAUUGUCUAGAAUGUAAUUUCUGAAAGAAAACGAGAGUUGAUCUUGAGGAGAAAUGCUGGUU